This 681-nucleotide ribosomal RNA is filed under the name Salinicola salarius. Its description in RNAcentral is "bacterial SSU rRNA". It matches the Rfam family "Bacterial small subunit ribosomal RNA", at positions 843 to 1522 of the family's 1533-position model. Lineage: Bacteria; Pseudomonadati; Pseudomonadota; Gammaproteobacteria; Oceanospirillales; Halomonadaceae. The record is from RNAcentral.
GUGGCGCAGUUAACGCGAUAAGUCGACCGCCUGGGGAGUACGGCCGCAAGGUUAAAACUCAAAUGAAUUGACGGGGGCCCGCACAAGCGGUGGAGCAUGUGGUUUAAUUCGAUGCAACGCGAAGAACCUUACCUACCCUUGACAUCCAGAGAAGUUGGCAGAGAUGCCUUCGUGCCUUCGGGAGCUCUGAGACAGGUGCUGCAUGGCUGUCGUCAGCUCGUGUUGUGAAAUGUUGGGUUAAGUCCCGUAACGAGCGCAACCCUUGUCCUUAUUUGCCAGCGAGUCAUGUCGGGAACUCUAAGGAGACUGCCGGUGACAAACCGGAGGAAGGUGGGGACGACGUCAAGUCAUCAUGGCCCUUACGGGUAGGGCUACACACGUGCUACAAUGGCCGGUACAAAGGGUUGCGAGACCGCGAGGUGGAGCGAAUCCCAGAAAGCCGGCCUCAGUCCGGAUCGGAGUCUGCAACUCGACUCCGUGAAGUCGGAAUCGCUAGUAAUCGUGAAUCAGAAUGUCACGGUGAAUACGUUCCCGGGCCUUGUACACACCGCCCGUCACACCAUGGGAGUGGACUGCACCAGAAGUGGUUAGCUUAACCUUCGGGAGAGCGAUCACCACGGUGUGGUUCAUGACUGGGGUGAAGUCGUAACAAGGUAGCCGUAGGGGAACCUGCGGCUGGAC